GUUAGGAAUAUUGGACAAUGGGGGCAACCCUGAUCCAGCCAUGCCGCGUGUGUGAAGAAGGCCUUAGGGUUGUAAAGCACUUUCGGCUGUGAAGAUAAUGACAGUAGCAGAAGAAGAAGCUCCGGCUAAAUUCGUGCCAGCAGCCGCGGUAAUACGAAUGGAGCGAGCGUUGUUCGGAAUCACUGGGCGUAAAGGGUGCGCAGGCGGUCUUGAAAGUUAGAAGUGAAAGCCCCGGGCUUAACCCGGGAAUUGCUUUUAAAACUCCAAGACUAGAGUACUGGAGAGGUUGGCGGAAUUCCAAGUGUAGCAGUGAAAUGCGUAGAUAUUUGGAGGAACACCGAUGGCGUAGGCAGCCAACUGGACAGUAACUGACGCUCAUGCACGAAAGCGUGGGGAUCAAACAGGAUUAGAUACCCGGGUAGUCC
RNAcentral lists this ribosomal RNA (425 nucleotides) under uncultured bacterium. Its description in RNAcentral is "bacterial SSU rRNA". It matches the Rfam family "Bacterial small subunit ribosomal RNA", at positions 354 to 796 of the family's 1533-position model. The record is from RNAcentral.